This 245-nucleotide long non-coding RNA is filed under the name Brassica napus (rape). Its description in RNAcentral is "long non-coding RNA (BNAP_LNC003672)". Lineage: Eukaryota; Viridiplantae; Streptophyta; Magnoliopsida; Brassicales; Brassicaceae. The record is from RNAcentral.
AUAUUGAUGUGCCUUUGGUGACAAUUUGUUGUUCUUCACCACCAACUUUGGUGACUGAUGCUUUGGUGCUUUGUUUGUUUUGGUAUUCUAGGUGAUAUUGAAGAUAAUUUCGAUGAGGAAGAUACAAAUGUUGCAAGUUCUUCAGGAGUAUGAGAGAUAUUCAAGAUUCAAGAAGCUACAAAUGUUGCAAACUACUAUUUAUUUUAAUCUGAAUAAAAAUACUUUUGCUACUUCUUUACAAAUGU